CAAAUACUCGCUCCGUCCGGAAAUAGUUGUCAUCAAAAUGGAUAAAAGGAAAUGUAUCUAGACGAUACAUCUCUUUUUAUCCAUUUUGAUGACAAGUAUUUUCGAACGGAGGGAGUAUUUA
Non-coding RNA from Triticum aestivum (bread wheat), 121 nucleotides. NCBI's taxonomy places the organism in Eukaryota, Viridiplantae, Streptophyta, Magnoliopsida, Poales, Poaceae. The record is from Rfam.